Molecule: unclassified non-coding RNA, 431 nt
Filed under: plant metagenome
Description: partial contains 5.8S ribosomal RNA, internal transcribed spacer 2, and large subunit ribosomal RNA
Rfam family: 5.8S ribosomal RNA (bases 1-102)
Source: RNAcentral
AAACUGCGAUAAGUAGUGUGAAUUGCAUUUAGUGAAUCAUCGAAUCUUUGAACGCACCCUGCACUCACUGGUAUUCCGGUGAGUACGCCUGUUUCAGUAUCAUUGAAAACACACAAUCAAAACAUUUUCUUUGGUUUGAUUGGCUUUGGGUCUAUCAAAAAGUUUGGCUUGUUUCUUACAAGCCAAGCGGCCUGAAAUAUAUUGUCUGGCUAAUUGCAUCGUUGAUGAUCGCUAUUAGACUUUGGCUUUUUUAAAUGAACUGGAGGUUGAUUAACCAGUUUUAGCUUUAGUCAAAUGGUCAUUGUAAAAAAAAUCUCGAUCUUGGCUAGGUGUUUAUAGCCGAAAAUUUUUUUUUGGCUAUAACCGAAACCAUUAUAAUCACAUUUAGUUAUCGAUCUGAAAUCAGGUGGGACUACCCGCUGAACUUAAGC